RNAcentral lists this long non-coding RNA (23045 nucleotides) under Selaginella moellendorffii. RNAcentral's name for it is "long non-coding RNA (SMOE_LNC000947)". Lineage: Eukaryota; Viridiplantae; Streptophyta; Lycopodiopsida; Selaginellales; Selaginellaceae. The record is from RNAcentral.
GGAAAUCUGCCCAGAAACCUAUCUGGAUGCCAUGUUGUUCUUGUCUCUAAAGUUCUUCCACCGUGUGCUGCAGAGCAAGCGCUCAAUGGGGCGCAGUUGCUAGAUCACUGGUGCCUGUGUUGGCCAUCCGAUUUGAGUUUUUUCCUUGACUGGAUUUCAAAAGCCCUCUUUUGUGCGGGAAUAUUUUUCCAGAUUGUAUCUUCAAUGCCAAGGGAUGUGUGCCCCUUUCAAUUUGAUGCGCCUGGACAUGCAAUGCCCAAAUUGUCGAGGAGGGCCGCCAGCACAAGGAGUUCCCCUUUAUGUAUCUGCUGUCAAGUGAUUAGGAGUAUGAUGUCUUAAUGGCAGACCAUCACGAGCUGGUAACAAAGAGAAGAAACAUCUCUUUUUACUUUUGUAGUUCAUACAAACUUUGGUUUGUUUGUCUCAUAGCAAUCUGUGGUGUCCAUACCCAAGAUUUCUCAACUUGGAGUAAGUAGGAUUGAUUAUAACUUGUCUCUUUUGAAGUUACCUUUAGAAGGACGAUGUCAUUUCUUUAGUGACUAAGACACUUUUUUUGUUUUUCUCUUACAGGUUCAAAUCCCAACGUUGUGGUAAACAUAUGGAGAGAACCAUCCUACGGGCUGUCAUGGCCGUCACUACCACAGCCUACGAGUGAGCGGGCCAUGGCAGUCAGGGCUUGGUCCCAGGGCUGUAAUCUGCAAGCGGCUCACAGCCAUGAGCCAUGGCUGAGAAAGCGCUAUGAACACAAAGCUAAUCUUGCUGUUCGUGUUAGUUGGGGCUGGUCAGCACUCCAGUAGCUCAAGGCUAGUCAAUUGGUAGUUUUUAUUAAUUGUUAUAAAUUAAUAAUAGUUCUUGAGACAAAGAAUUUUACCCUAGACCUAAACAAUCUCAACAAAAGGUUAAAUUUUAAAGGACUUUUUAUUAUGCUAUUUUGGACCCAUAAAGUGUUCCUUUGCUCAAAAAGAAUGUGGAGCUACAUUGGACGUAACUCUUCAGCCUAGUUAUAGUUAAAUAGGGGAAACUAUUUCUGUUUCUCUUUCGCUAGCUGGAGGUAGCAAAUCAACCUAUCGUCGAUCCAUGGCCCCUGUAACAACGGUCAACUCGCACCUGGCAUGGGUUUGCGAUGGCCAUGGCCAGAUAACUGGUAGUAAAACCAGGGCUAUAUGGAUGGAUGGCUUUUACAUGAUUUUGCCUUUCUUACUUGCAUAGGAAGAAUCUGUUUUGUAACUACUAUUCAUUUAUCAUCAAUUGAUAAAUUAUAUUUACAAAAAAAAACUUUAUUUAACAUGAACAAGUUGUGAGUGCAUGGAAUAUGGAAAGGGAAUACAUGUGCAUAUCAAUUAGCCAAAAACCCUAACUUGUAAGGAGUAAGUGGUCCGGAUUGAAAUCAAUCCAACAGCUACUAAAAUCUCAUUAUGCUAAUAUUAGUAUACUGUAUUAUAGCUGUACACUUGGACUUCACAUCAUCCCCUCUUCUCGGAAUAAUGAAAGACCAUCAAAGUUCUCUUGUAGAUGGGUUGAGAUCUGAACAAGUGUUAGGAGAAGACAUCGGCAGAUUUAUAGGUGGUAUCAGUUGUUCUUGAUCCUUUUGUAUGAAGUGUUUCAACCGCUGCACAUACACAAUUUCUAGAGGAUCGGCCUAUUGGACGUCAUGCCAAACCUUAUAAGCUUGCGGUCCAACUUGCCGUAAUACUCGAUAUGGUCUUUUCCACUAAGCAAGGAACCCCUUAGAUAAACCAUAUACCAUAAAAUGGGGAAAAUAGACCAACACCAAAUCAUUCACUUUGUACUUUGCAGGUGGACGAUGAUGGGAGUUGUACCACCAUUGUUGUCCCACUUGUAUGCAACUUAAGUGUUCGGCAAAUUUUGUUUGAACAAAUGGAAGAAUGUUUAUCAAAUAACCCCACAACCUAGCAUUGGCAACUUGUGGCAAUUACAAAGGUAAACCCAACUUUGUUAGUAAUAUUGGAUCAUGACCAUAUAAAAGUUUAUAUGGUGAAACAUUAACAGAAUUUUACACCCCUGUGACAUAUGCAUAUUGAAGAGACGGCAAAUAACCAUCCCAAUCCAAAUGUUGAAAGUUCAUAUACUUCACGAUCAUUCAUUUGAAUGUCCAAACGAGCCAUUCCACCAAACUGUUUGACUAAGGAUGAUAAGCACUCGUGAAAGUAUAGCGUAUCUCCAACCGAGACAUCAAAACAUGAAAUGUUACAGCCAUAAAUGCGGGACCAUUAUCCAAAAGAAUCCACUCUGGACAAGAAUAUUGGAACACCACUCGAUUGAGAAGGAAGUAUUCAAUAGCAGUUGCAAAGGCACUAGUAAAAGCACCAACUUCCACCCAACGAGUUAAAUGGUCAAAAACAAUAAUAAUAUAUUCAUUACCAGCAGUCGAUCGUGGAAAAAGUCCCAUAAAAUCAAAUGCCACCAACUUAAAUGGACGGGAAACUGCAAUUGACUCUAACUGUUACAAAAGGGAGUAUUAUGAAUUUGGCACCAAAUGUAGUUACGCACAUCUCAAAUAACAUCACGUCGCAUCUCCGGCCAAUAGAAGACUUGUGCAGCUUCUCAGUCACACAACGAUGUCCCAUAUGCCCGCCUAGAACAAAAGAAUCAUGUUAGACAUGGAGAAACUGUGGAAUAAAGACAAAAGGCACCACCAACUGUAAAGGAUCAUCAGGAUCCGUCCCCACAAAAUAAAGAAGGCCAUCUUCAAGGCAAUACUGAGAAUAUAAAUGCUGGAAUGGCAAGUCAUCAGCAAGUGAUACAGAAUUCUCAAACCCAUCUCAAAGCCUUAGAAUCCAUGGCUCAAUUUUUUGAGCCUCACAAACCUCAUCAACAAAAGGUAGAUCUUGCUAUGCACGUUGUGGACACUGAACAUCAAGUACAGUAACUGCCGAUGGCACAGAAUCCUCAUCUAAAAAAUCCAUAGAUGCUGGAACAACAAGCUCGUCAAAAACAUGAGAAAAGAGUGGAGAAGGAAGAGGAGCUCGAGAAAGGGCAUCAGCAUCAGCCAUAGGACUCCUUGGGCGAUGAACAACAUCAAAAUCAUAUAUCUGAAGCUUCAAAAUCCACUAAGCAGUACAACCAACUAGAUUCUUUUACUUCAAUAAUGAAGUAACAGUAGCAUGAUCACCUUCAAGUAACAUUUGAGAACUAUGUAGAUAUGCAUGAAGUUUCUCGAAACCCCAGACUUCUGCUAAACACUCCUUCUUUGUCGUGGAGUAGUUUACCUCCGCUGAUUGUAAUGUAUGGCUUAUAUACGCAAUGGGAUGGUGCUAACAAGGCACACUUGGGCUCUCUUGCAUCAACACAUUUCCAAGAUCAAUAUUAAAAGCAUCCAUGCACAAAAUAAAAGGUCAAGUGUAGUCAAGAUAUGCUAAAAUCGAAGGAUUCGUUAAUAGUUCUUUGAGAUCCACUAAUGCCCACUCUCAAUACGGAGAUUAAAUGAAAGAUGACGUUGAUGAUUUCAGCAAUGCUUGCAAUGGUGCUAUGCGAUUAGAAAGAUAAUCCACAAAAUGACCAAGAUACUGCACAUUGCUCAAGAAGCAUUGUACAUCAUUCACACACUUCGGAGUAAGGAACUUUAAAAUAGCCACAAGUUUAUCAAGAUCAACUUGUAAACCCUUAAGAGAAAUAUAGUACCCAAGAUAAGUUGUAUCCUUGGACCCAAACACACACUUUGACCACUUCAGCUUUAAAAUAAUAUCCCGUAGCCAAUUCAACACUUUACAAAUAUUAAUGUCAUCCCAUGUUGAUGACGAAUAUACUCCUCCCACAUCCCUUCGAGUGGAUCAAGACAUCAUCAAUGAAGUCAGUAGUCACCUCCGGCAUAUUACAAAGAACUUCAUCCAUCAUCCGUUGGAAAGUUGUUGGAGAAUUGUUCAAACCAAAUGGUAUUACCAAGAACUCGUACAAACCAAAUGGUGUAUGAAAAGUAGUAUUAAAAAUAUUUUUUUUGGCCAUCGAUAUUUCUCAGUACCCAGAAGCAAAAUCUAGCUUGGUAAACUAACGACUUUGCCCUAGAUGAUCCAAGAGAUCAGCAGUAUGAGGAAAAGGGUACGCAUCUGGGAUUGUCACUUCGUUUAACGGAUGGUAGUUAAUGCAGAAAUAAAUACUUCUAUCAGACUUCAUCAUAAAAUGAGGUUCACAUGCCCAAAGAUUCCAUGACUUCCAAAUAACACCCUUCUCUAACAUCUUCUUGAUGUUUGCACGUAAAAUCUUGAUUUCUUUAGGUGACUGAUAACGAAUAGAAACCUUGAUUAGAUGAGCAUCCCCAAUUGGAAUCGAAUGACGUGUGGCAAUCUUGGCCCUAGACAAAAGUCAAAUUCAAAGAGAUUAGAAUACUCCUUCAUGAGUCAGUCAACCGUUGCAACACAAAGAUUGUCGGAGGGAUUGGAAAAGGGAAGAGCAGAACAAGAUGGAAACAUAAAAGGAAGUAGUGGGGGGACAAAAGUAAUGGAAGUAAAUGUAAAAGUAAAGGGACGAAAAGGUACAGAAGUAAGAGGAAUGAAUGAAAUAUAAGGAAGUAUGAGAUAAAGGGGAGAAGUCUUAAAGUUAUAUUUGGCAUAAUUGCAUUGCAACCAAUCCAUACCAAGGAUGAGGUCAAAAGCUUGACUCAGCACCACCCAUAAUGAUUGCAACCCAAACUCAAGAUCACCCAUACGCACAACUAGGUCCGCCUCAUCCCGUGGACAUACAUGUGUACAGCUGUUGCCAUAAAAAAUGAAAACUAGCCCCACCACACGAUGCAAGUGUAGAUGGCAACAUGUGACAACAAGUCGAGCAAUAGAAGAUAAACUCAAACCUGUAUCAACUAACAUGGAGAGAAUAAUAGGAGACGGCUUGUUAUAAAAACGAGUUUGGAAAGUAAACACUGGAUGAAUUAGUGCUGAGUGAACCCCUUGAUGAUACUUCGGAAAAAACAAUGGAGAGGUCAUUGAUUUAUUCACAUAAAAUCCCUCCGUUACUCGCAUGACUCCUCGUUUCCCGAAUGCAUUUUGGUGUUUAGACUUUCCACUACAGCAGCACCAACAAGACAUUGUUGACACCAAGGUCUUCACCCAGGAAAUGGUGGCUAUCAAUCUGGAAAAUGCCAACAAUGCCGAUAAAUGUGACCAACUUCAUCACACGCAUAGUAAUGAAUAUCACGACCAUAACCACAGCCUUGCUCUUGUUCUUGGACUCAAAUAGUAGCAGCAUCAACCUCUAUUGAAACAAGACCAUCACUUACAGGAAGUGAAGCUAAAGGACGUGCAACAAAAAGUGGAAGAGGCAAUGUCUCAUAAUGUUGUGCCAAGCAAAGAGCAUUGUCAAGGGUGGUGAAAACAAAAGCAUGCACAAGUCCGACAAAAUUUUGAUGAGUGCUAGCCAUAACAUUCCUAGCUUGAUCCGCUCUGACAUAUUGUAGCACAUGUGAUCAUGGGAUGAGAUUUGAAUAUACUGUCACCGUGGAUCCUUGAAACCUUGGGGGAUAAAUAGGGGAUAAAAUAGCCACUAAGGGCUCUCUCAUCAAGUAAUUGCCCCUUUUCCAAUUUUCUUAAGGGGAGAGAGAUAAGGUACACUACAGUUGGUAUCAGAGCAAAUGCCACGGGUUCGAUUCCCAUUGAUUAGUGGCUACUUAAAAGUAUAAUAUACCCUUGAGGAAGGUAUAUUCCUACCCUUAAAUUUGAAAUCGUAAAUCGUAGGUAUUGGGCAUCCAUGCGUAUGUCCUUCCUCUUGUGUGGAGUAUCCACGGACGAAGGUAUCCACCGUGGGACUGCGGUACGGGUGGAUGACUAGUUGCUUCACAUCGAAUAACUAAUCUACACAAUGGAAGGAUUGGUAGAUUGAGUGUGGGAAUGGAGUUGUUGGUUCCUUUUAGCUCAGUAGGGGUUGUUAGUUAAUAGUCAAUGAGAACAUUGACAUCUCUGAAAGGGGGGUGAGUGUAGCACAUGUGAUCAUGGGAUGACUAGCUUAGUAGGGGUUGUUAGUCAAUAGUCAAUGAGGACAUUGACAUCUCUGAAAGGGGGGUGAGUGUAGCACAUGUGAUCAUGGGAUGAGAUUUAGAUAUAUUGUCACCAUGGAUCCUUGGAACCUUGGGGAAUAAAUAGGGGAUAAAAUAGCCACUAAAGGCUCUCUCAUCAAGCAAUUGCCCCCUUUCCAAUUGGUUUAAGGGGAGAGAGAUAAGGUGUGCUACACAUAUUUAACUCCGCAAAAAGCAAAAAGGCUUCAAAAAUGAAUGCACCAACUUAGAUGGUCCUUGACGAAGAUGAUGCAAUUGUUGGAAGGCAUUAUCACAAUCUUCAGUAUGUUUAAAUGCACAUUUGAAGACGUCUGGGAGAACACUCCAAUCCCCAUGAAUGGUUGUGCUCAAACCAUUGUAUUACUACAACACCAUCCCUUGGAGACAUGUGGGAAACUUACGCAAAUGUUAAGCAUCAUCCCAAGAAUGAUAUGUGGCAAUCAUCGUGAAGUGAUCUAACCAAUGAUACACAUCAUCCUCAGGAUUCCCGCAAAAGAACUCCGGCUGAACGUAAGGAUUAGCACCAAGAGCAAAAAGAGUUGUACUACGUGCCAUGAAUGCCACUAUCAACUAAGUUUAGUUGUUCAAUUGCAAUCGCAUAACAUCAAGAAAUUGUACCAAUUGCUAUUCUAGAGUCAAAGGAGGAAAAGACUACUGAUCUGUCAUGAAAAUGAACAAAAAGGAAAGAGCAAAAGAAAAUAAAUGAAAAAAAGCUAAAAGAAAAGGGAGAUCUAGACAAUGCAAAAAGCUAAAUCUAAACCAAAAUCCUGAAAGGAAAGAACAAAAGAAAGGAAAUUGAAAAAAACUAGAUCUAGAUAAUAUAAAGUUAGAUCUAAACCAAAACCCCAAAUUCAAGAACUCCUUAAAAGCAAUCAAAAGUGUCCCUCAUCUCCACUAAUGUGAAUGCAUGGAAUAUAAAAAGAGAAUGGUCUUAGCAAGUCUAUGUAUUUGCCUGGAUUUUCUCAUACUAUUCAGGCACUGAGGGUCCUACACCUUGGCUGUGCUGAUGUCUGUGAUCGUUUUGCUGAAAUCUGGGUCUCUUUAGGAGUUUGCCUUUCUCUAUGUAUGGUUUGUGAACAGGCGCUGCAACAGAGACAUCCCCAGAAUCGAGGGCAGCUGGGCACUUAUUGCUUUGUUUUCAAGGCUGCAGCACAUUGUGCUAUGAGUCCUUAGCACUGGAUCUUCUUCUCAUCUGACAUAUUCUCUUCCACUUGCAGUGAUAGAUCUGUGGGAGAAAGUCGGCGAGGCGAAACUCGGAGUAGUGACAAGGGAAAUGGCCACCGAGCUCGUCACGGCCGUGGUGACAACUGAUUUCAAGCUGGAAGAAACAAGGAAAAAAGCGAGAAUGAUUUAAAAUUCAAGGACUGUCAGCCUGACGACGUAAACUCUUCCAGACACUUUUAUUGAUACCAACAUCUCGACCAUCAUGAUCCGGAACGCUUAAGUAUUUCUCGUACGGGUACUCUGGCAAGACGGUUUUUGGCUUCUACAUGUUUUACAAGCUGCGGAUGGAUCCGGUGUUUUCGAGUUGGGCUAUUAUAUGGGAGCAGGGUUCCACGCAUGGCCCAGGUUCAAGUUAUUACUUCAGGGCAAAUGAGCUACUGCUGGGAAAGAUCGGGGACUGCGACCAUUGAAUUACGGAACAUACUGUUUUUCUGGUAAACGGUCUGAAAGCAUCACCACGAAUGAUUCAGAAUAAUACGCCUUCACGUCCGAAAACUAUUCGACUAAGCCUAUGUGGCAGUUCCUGAAAGAUACGGACCUGGACGCAUUCUACAUGCCCCUGAGGGACUUGUGUGAAUUGUUGCUCGCUGCGCCACUGGCCGGGCACGGGGAUUGCAGCGAAGCAGAAGAUAGGGAGCGUUACCACAAGUUUGGGGGUUCGGUGCGCUCUGUCUUGGUCCACCACAGGAAAACGAACUACAACAGCAGGUUUGAUCGAGCCUUACAGACUGCGAAAAAGAAAGCGCAGAUCGAGUACAUGAUUGGGAACGUAUUGCAGGGGAAUGACGUAAGUAGUUUCAUUCUCCAUUUGAAGAUGGUCAGUAGAGAUUUGAAGGAAACCAUGGGUGUUUGCAUCUCAGUACGUGGAGGAGCAACUUUCGUGGCUGGAAGAUAGAGUAUAUCAGACAGAAUCAGGGCAUCAGCGACGAAACGGUUCUCGUGGGCAAGAGGUUUGAGCAUCAGCUACGAUGUUCGAAACCGCGUCUCCAAGCACGACGCUUGCACCGGCCAAUUUCGACCGAAACAUGUGAGAUGCUUCAACGUCUUUUGAGACGCAUGAAUCUGCCUGAAAGCGGGAGAAAAACUGCGCUUAUCCAGAGGCUGAGAGAUGCUAAUUUCAAGGGAGUCUAUGACAUGGAAGAAGGGCCAGUGAUCGAGGACGAACAGGAGAAGAUGGAAGACGACGCCGAAGGAGAGGUGGAGCCAGAGGACCAGGUCGAAGUGGAAGUGGCUGGGGAGGAACAGGAAGCAGUCCAGUUUAAUUGCCAGGGGCCUAAAAAAAGUCUAGGGGUGAUGGGGCCCAUGCGCAGGUUACUGUCAACGAUCGCCACCACGCCCAAGCCAAGUAUAUCGAUGAGCUUAUCAACAGGUACAACCUUAAGCGGUUCUACUUUGUUGUACCAUAGAAAAUGUUCAACUGGUACCCGUACCAGCUUUGAAGGAGGUUUGGGUCCUUAAGCUUUAUUUCGUUAAAGUGGGAAUUGUCAUUAUCCCACUUGUAAAAUAAGGUUUCCAAACCUUUAUAUAGUAUAUAAAUAUAACAAAAUUCAACUGCAUUGAGGCACAUGCCAUUUUAUCUUAAACAAGAAAAUGUCUACUCAAUCACUUCUCCUCCCCCUACCAUUGCUUCACCUCUCUCUUCUCCUUGUCAUCGUCGUCUAAUUUCUUUCCAUCCUUUUAAUAUUGGCUCAGUUGCUCCGAGUCUAGGUGGAGCCCAAGUCCCUAUUCAAUCUUUACUUUCCCCUUAUUAAUAAAACAACUUCGUAGACUUCCAAUAACAUGCUGUAACACGCUGUAACACUUCUAGUAUAAUGCAAAUCCUCUCAAAGAAUUAUCUUUUAAUAUUAAUACAAUGGCAUGGAACCCCAUGCCAUAAUAAGUUACAUUUUUAAAUAAAUACAUAAACCCAGAGCUUCCGUGUUCGUGCCAAUGUCUCGUGCAGACCCAAUUUGUAGCACGUUUCUUGCUUGACAUUCUGCGCGUGAGAGAUGUAUAUGAUAGAUCGGAGGGGCGAGUUGCUUUUUAUCAGGCGGACAACUCUUGUCUUGAAGACUUUCUUCACCUCCUCGCCCACCAUAAUAUCCACAACUAUCUCUUGCAUCGCCAAGCUAGAAUGCUGCCCGGAGACGGCAUAGAACCGGAUGUUCUAAUCGUCCAACACCUUCCUAUUGAUCAAGUCUGGAAACCUCGUCUCGCCCUUCAAUGUUCGGUAGUAGGGGAUCACGUCUGUGAUGUCAGGUGUUACUGGACUUGUCAGCAUCUUCUGCUUCAGUUUCUCCACCCACUCAUCAGAUACUAGCCUAUGGUUGUAUUUGCUUUGGAUGUCGAUGUGGCUCACGUCGAUUGUAUAUACUUUGUUGGAAUAGUAACAAGUACUAUUAUCUGCGACAAUUUUUGCUGCCUCUUCUUGCUCUUUCUGCUCUUUGCGGCUCUUCUUUUUGGUGGGUGUAGUGUUCGAACCCGAGGCAAUGGCAUCACCGAGUAGCUUCUUUUUUGGAGUCGAAGAGUCGGACGUCAGCUUGAGCUUGACCACCCUUUUCUGCUUCGGGGUAGUUUCCAGAUCGACCUCCUUCCCCUUCGCUUCGCGAACUGGAGUCACUCUCAACGGCUCAAUGUUGGAAUAUAGUUUUUGAACAUCGCCGUAGGUGAGGUCCGUGGAUUCCAUGUGAUCUUCAUAGACCCGCAGCGUCUUUGAAAUUGUGGGCCUCCUGGACAACCUCUCCCUAGCUCCCUCUAGGAAUUCCUUAUAGCCGCUGCCCCCCUCCAGGAAGCCACUAGGAUGUGCAAAGUGGAUCUUGAAGGCAGACGCUGUCUCUACCACAAGUGCCAGUCCAUAUUCUUGCAUGGAACUGCAUGGAGUGUCUGUCACUUGGAUGAGGAUCCCCAUGCAUUCUUUUCUCCCACCAUCUGUGUUGUAUAGCCUCAGAUCCUCGCCUUCCAUCCCGAAAGUCCAACUGGUGAGCUCCUCCCCCUUCUCUGCAUCCACAUUGAUAGUGGCUGGAAGAAGAACGCAAUUCCUCGCCUGUUCAGAAAUGCACAACAAUUAGAGCUGACAGAUGAAAAGCUAGCAGCUGGAAAUAACAUGAGGCCACACGCCAUUCACCACUGCAUCAGAUGUCUUGAGGCUGCAUCCUAAGAUGGCGUGAGGCUACACGCCAUUUGUAACCGGACUGCACUCGAGAGCCCAAUCGGUGCAUGCCAAUGUUGCUACUGAAUGGCAUGUGGCCUCAUGCCAUUUUCUACUUGGCCUAAAAGACUUACCAUUUGAAGCCGAAUGGAGGCGUGACAAUCGAGGCCGGACUUGCUGGCGAAUGUGCACUGUGUGUGUAGCGGAUCGUAGUAGCAAGGCUACUCUGCCACUUACAGUUGGAGAGUGGCGCUGAAAUCUCCCGGGACGCCAAGUGGGCUGUGUGUGGGUGGCGGAGUGGGCGGCGGAGUUGGCGGCGAAGUUACAAACUGGGUGUGUCUUGAAGUGGACGCCGAUGCACACGAACGCGAUGCGAGCGCGAGUGUGAUGCAAGCGCGAGUGGAUGCCGAUGCACACGAGAAACCUGUAGAGAAGGUAGAUGAGCGCGAUCGCGAGUGGGAGCGCGAUGCGAGCGCGAGUACGAAGCAAAAUGCAAAACCUAACCUCAUACGCGCGAAAUGUCACGACGGUUGGUAAUCCCGCAACGUCAUCAUUCCUCGGACUUGGGUGCCACCAUUAAUUUCUGGAUCGCCGCGCGCAUGCAUGCACGUGAAAUCCAAAAGAAAUCCGCAACGUCAUCAUUCCUCGGACUGCAUGCACGUGAAAUCCAAAAGAAAGAUCAUGAUUGGGAUAUCAUUUAAUACCCUCGCUAUAUUUAUACCAUGCAUGAUUGGAUAUUCCAAAGCAUCUUGUAUUUCCAAAAAUGCCAGAUGUUCAACUAAAUAAAGAAUGGUAUACAAUAUCCUUCUUUGAUGACCCUGUAAAGAAGCAUCUCGAUCGGACACCACAUGAGACCACACGAGCCUUACAAUGUUUCAGGGGCAUUUGCCAUAGAUCCAACCGUUAUUUUGCUCCAAGAUUCUACAGUUUGGUGUGCAUUGACCUUUCCAUCGACACUGCAAAGGGACAUCACAAUCAGAUGUGGGAUCACAAGAAACCAACUUCACUAACUCUGGUUUCACCAAGAUCUACGUAAGGAGUUAUGAAGUGAAAGGACCCUCUCUAUUGAAAUGUGUUUAUGGUCCUAGGGGCAUUGUGACAUAUCAAAGGAUUUUGCAUCAAGUUCUGUAUUUGCAUGUUUAUCAAGCUACUGAAUUGCUAAACCCUAAACCCUCCCUAAAUAUGUGGCAAAUGCUGCGUGAAGAAAGAUGCCCUUUCUGGGCAAAUGCUGUAAGAGGCAGAUGCCGAGCAGUUACACGGCGAAUAAUCUUGGCGCAGAUCGCUGACAUGGCAUGGCAAAGUUCGAAUCACUGACAUCGCACAGCUGGAUCGAGGCAAGGACAUGAUGUGACAAAGUUCAACGUCCGACAGCAAAGUCUAGAAGCUACUUAGUUUGAAAUUUGUCAGAGGAAUUAUAAGAUCUGUGUAAGGAACCAACUCGCCGAGGUGUCGUAGGCUAAAGGAACCCUAAAAGCAUGACCAAAAUGACAAAGAGUUCAUCGGGUGGGACCAAGUCGAAGAUCGAGUCCAAGACCGACUCUAGGACCGAGUUCGAGAUCGAGUCCGGAAUUGAGUCCGAGACCGACUCGAGGACCGAGUUCGAGUCCGAGUUUGAGACCGAGUUCGAGACGGAGUCCAAGAUCCGAAAUCGGGUCCGAGACCGAGUCCGAGGUCGAGUCCGAGGUCGGGUCCGAGAUCGGGUCCGAGAUCGAGUCCGAGAUCGAGUUCGAAACCGAAUCCGAAGUCGGAUCCGAAAUCGGGUCCGAGAUCGAGCCAGAGACUAAGUCCAAAUACUAAUACGGGUCAAGGGUGAAAGCCCAAAGCGUGCGUCUCCCAGGGGGGGGGGGGGGGCUGCAGGGGGUUCCAAAAGUAUAGUAGGGAUAGUGAGGUCCAGGAACCAGUUUAGAAGGGACUCUCCAGUGGGGCUCCCAAACUGACUUGAGGUUGGGACUGGGACCGAGGGGCCUUGGGUGGGAGUGAGCAUGGACUUGGUUGGUGCCGGAGGGGCCAUCCAAGGAAGUGCUCAAGAGCAGCUCCCACUCCCGAAAGGGAAACCGAUCGCGGUGCUCCCGGCUCAUGUGGAGUGGUGCCCCACUUGAGUACCAUGCGGCUCAUUGGUCCUCGCCCUUCCUAGGGGCUUGGGCCUUCCUUCGGGAUGGAAGUGGGGGGCGAGAGGUACCCAUACCGGGCCGCUAGGCCACGGUGUUUCGCCCCGGCGUCCCGAAGCAAGCGUUGCCCUCAAGACUUGGGAUUUAGAGGUCCCAUGAUCAAGUCUUGUGGUACCAAAGGAUGUUAAGAACCUGGAAGCUUGGUGUGCUUGGCUGCUUAUGCUUGCGGGGAGUGUAGCCGAACCUUAAGUCCAGUCUAACCCGGGGAGGGGGAUUGGGAGUGAUUUGGGAAUCCGUGGAUGGAUGGCUAACACUCCGUUGCUCGUGCAGUGAGUAGCUGAGACCAAGUAGGAGCUGGUACCAUAGGCGAGAACCUUGGCAAGGGAACUUAGCAAAAGCCAAGGCAGUGUCGGACGGAUAGACGAGGUAAGUUGGCAAAUUGGAAAGGAAAAAUUUGUGGCUUACAAUUUGGUAUCAGAGCCUUUAUCUCAGUUCUAGCGAAGGAUAGAGGCGGAUUGCUGGGAGAUGGCAAGGGCAGGGCGUAAGCGAACCCAGGUAGAGACGGAACCACCGUCGGAGCUGGAGCCUCCGGUCGAACAAGAGGCUAUGGAUGAGGAAUCCUUGCAUGAGGAGGACUCUAGUGAGGAAAGUUCCAAACAGGAGUCCGGUGGCGAGGUUCGGUCGUCCAAGGCUUGAUUGGACGUGCUAGAAGGACAGUUGGCACAGACCAAUGCCCUGCUGGAAACUCUCGUACGCAAGCUAAAGCGUGACGAGAGGCGGAAGAAAAAGAAAAAGACUGCGGAUGCUGGCAGCGCAGAAGGUGCGGAUCUUUCGGCCGGGACUGAGGCAAAACCAGACAAGGUCGAACAGACUGAAGUAGAAUCAGUCCCUCAGGCAGUUCCCGAGUACAAACCAAAGCCCCCACCGGUCUUCAAGGGAGUGAACGACUAUAAAGUGGUGGAGGAUUGGUUUUACGAUAUGGAAGACUACUUCCGAGCAUUGCGAUUACCGAGCUCGGAGAAGGUCCCAUGUGCAAAACCAUACUUGGCAGAUAAUGCCAAGUCUUGGUGGAGAACGACAGAGGCCAACGAAGGACCAGUGGCCACUUGGGACAUGAUGAAGGCGAGGAUCCGCGCAACAUACGUUCCUCCGAAUGCCACUCUACAUCUGAGAGAUGAGCUGAGUAGGCUGAAGCAGACUGGAACCAUCCAGGAAUAUGUGAAUGGGUUCAUGGCAAAGAGGAUACUUGUCACGGACAUGGGGGAUAUGGAUGCGUUCCAUGCCUUCAUAUCAAGUUUGCAAACCUAGGCUCGCGGUGAGGUGAUGCGGUGGAACCCGACCAACUACAAGGAAGCGUUGGAUGCGGCCAUCAAGGUGCAUUUCAACGAUAACCUGCGAAAGGGGAACACGACGGGGUCGGGAUCCACAUUUAGCAAAGGGGCCAAACCAAGGGGAAUGUAUAGCAAGGGGAAAUUCAAAAAGAGUUUAUCUAAGAAUGAGUCCUUGGGGUUCCGGAAAGGCAAAUCCGGUGGCCAGCGAGCGAGUACGUGGGGGAGUCAAGCGAAAAAGGACAAACCCACAGAUAAGAAGGUCAAGUCGUAUAGCAGCGUGGGAAACAACGUAUGCUACAACUGCGGCGAAGCGGGACACUUCUCGAGGGAAUGUCCCUACCCGAAGAAGGCCAGAGCCAAUAUGGCCAUCAAGUCGGGUGAAGUCCAAACUGAGGUAUGUGAUCCAGUCCUUAACUCAAAGUUACUCAUUACACGAGCAACUUUGGUAGAGAGUCGUUCGCGACAUCUACUAGCCCUCCGAGGGAAGCUUAGAGGUAGCUUUGUUAAGAUCCUUAUUGACACGGGUGCUUCGGAUAAUUUUGUGGCUGCAGACAUAGUCCGACAAGCCGGACUAACGGUGCAGCGGCUAGGCGAACCAAGGACUAUAGAGUUUGUUCAGGGUAGCCAAAGCACCGAUGAGGUACUUCGACAAGCGAGAGUUGAAGUGGGGACAUGGAAAGUGGACAUGAAUUUCACCGUCUUGGACAUGGCGGGAUUUGACGUGAUCUUCGGAAUGGAUUGGUUUAAUCGGUUCGUGGUAGCCCUGCAUGGACAAGGUAGGAACCUUGUGGUAUUGGCGAAUGCCCAAGGAAGAAGAUCUAGGGUGGAGGCCCAGGAUCUAAAGGUAGGGCAAAGCAAGGCCAAAGAGUCAUGCUUAAACUUGGUGUCCACGAGAGGACAACUCACUAAAGGAACUAAGGCAGCCUUUUUGUGCUUACUCUCGGUGAAGAGUGACAAAAAGACAAGAACGGAAGAAGUACCUUUAGUGAUCCAGUAGGUGCUGGACCAAUUCCAGGAUACCAUGCCGGAGGAGCUACCGGCGGGGUUGCCCCCCGCACGACCGAUAAAACAUAAGAUUGAGCUGGUCGAGGGUGCUGAGGCGGUGGUUCAUCCACCCUAUCGAUUGAACGAAAAAGAACUCAAGGAGCUCAAGAGCCAACUAGAGGAGUUGGUGGACAAAGGGUAUGUUAGGUUGAGCAAGUCGCCGUAUGGGGCGCCGGUGCUAUUUGUGAAAAAGAAAGAUGGAUCUAUGCGCAUGUGCAUAGACUACCGGUUGCUCAACAAGUAUACCAAGAAGAACAAGUACCCUUUGCCAAGGAUCGAGGACCUGUUCGAUAGGUUGGGAAAGGCAAAAUACUUCUCGAGGAUUGACCUAAGGUCAGGAUACUACCAGAUCAGGGUAGCUGAGGAAGAUGUCGAGAAGACAACCUGUCGAACGAGGUAUGGGAGCUUUGAGUUUCUGGUGAUGCCCUUUGGGCUGUGCAAUGCACCGGCAACAUUUUCGGCGUUGAUGAACCACAUCUUUGUACCCUAUCUGGAUCACUUCGUGGUCGUCUAUAUCGACGAUAUCCUGAUCUAUAGCGAGACGCUAGAGGAGCAUGCCGAACACUUGGCGAAGGUGUUUGAGAAACUAAGGGAACACAAACUGUAUGCUAAAGAGAGCAAAUGUGACUUUGCUCAACAAGAAGUAAAGUUUCUCGGGCAUGUGGUGGGCCAGGACGGGCUCAAGGUGGACCCGGAGAAGGUCCAAGCGAUCCAGGAAUGGGAGCGGCCUUCGAAUGUACAUGAGUUGAGGGCGUUCUUGGGGCUAUGCAACUACUAUCGAAAGUUUAUCAGACACUAUUCGAGAGUAGCCCUACCCUUAACGGACCAAACAGGAAAAGGGAAGAUGGUAUGGACAGCGGAAUGCGAGGCGGCAUUCGUCCACCUCAAAGGGAAGUUGAGGAAGGCUCCGGUGUUGGCAUUACCAGAUUUUGGUAAGGACUUUGAGGUAGACACAGAUGCUUCGGACUUUGCGUUGGGUGCAGUUUUGAAGCAAGACAACCAUCCAGUAGCGUUCUUCUCGAAGAAGUUGGACAAGGCUCAAAGGAAGUGGCCUGCCCACGAGAAGGAAUUGUUUGCGGUGGUUAAGGCGCUCAAGGAGUGGCGACACUACCUUGGGAGACACUUCAAGGUUUACACGGACAAUGUGGCAACGAAACACUUCUUGUCACAGCCCGACCUGAGAGGGAAACAAGGUCGGUGGGCCAAUGCCUUGGCCGAGUUUGAUUGCGAGAUUUUGUACAAGCCUGGGAAGAGCAACAUCGUGGCAGAUGUGCUAAGUCGAAAAGCGAGCUUGAGGUUGGCGAUAUCCAGCGCAACAGCAACCUUCUGGGACGAUGUGCGGACAGCAUAUGAGAACGAUGGUCUAGCACAAGAAGUGUUGUUGAGGAAUCUGGAGGCGCGGGAAGCUCACUAGAGAGGUGAGCUGCCAACGGAAGAGAAAACGGGCUAUGCGGAACGCAACGGACUCAUUUAUUACAAGCAAACGAGGGUAUAUGUUCUAGAAGGGGGACUAAAGAAGGUAGCCUUAGAAGAGUGUCAUGACGGACCUUUUGCGAGACACGGCGGAGUGCCCAAGACGAUGGGCUUACUCAAGAGGAAGUACCAUUGGCCAGAUAUGGCUAAGGACGUCCAAGACUAUGUAAAGACAUGUCCAACAUGUCAGCAGGUCAAAGCCGUGACUAAGGCUAGUGGGGGCUUGUUGCAAAGCAUCCCAAUUCCAGAUCGUCUGUGGAAAUGUCUUACGAUGGACUUCAUCACGGGACUACCCCCAAGCGAGGGGUUCGAUGCGAUAUUCGUGGUGGUGGAUUGAUUUUCGAAGAUGGCACAUUUUAUACCCACCACAACGGAAGUGGAUGCGGAAGGUGUGGCGAAGCUGUUCUUCGAACAAGUGGUUCGAGUGCAGGGAAGGCCAGAAGAGAUUAUCUCAGAUCGAGAUAAGAUCUUCACUAGUAGGUUCUGGAGGACCCUCCUGGAACAGUAUUGCACCAAGUUGAAAUUCAGCACAGCCUAUCACCCACAGACAGGUAUGGGGUAUUAAGUCAAGUUUGGUGGUCCUAACACUUCUUGACAGACGGACAAACGGAAAGGGUGAAUAGGCAGCUGGAGGAUUAUUUGCGAUGCUAUGUCUCGGGAGACCAGACCGAUUGGGCAAGUCAUUUGGGACUUGCGGAAAUGUGUUAUAACAACUCACCACAUUCGAGUAUCGGGGUGAGUCCAUGGGAAGUCAUCAAUGGGCGAGCUAUUGAAGGUCCUGUGGAACUCGGCGUGGCCGAGUAUCAUGGAGAGCUACCCGCAGUGGAGGCAUUCACGGCGGAAAGACUCAACAUUUGGAAUCUAGUGAGGGAUUCCUUGGAACGGGCUCAACAAAGGCAAACCAAGUAUGCGAACCUAAAGCGCCGGGAUGUAGAGUUCCAAGCUGGGGAGAAGGUGUGGCUGAACACCAAGAACCUCAGGCUACCAAGUGGGAUCAGCCGAAAGUUGACCCAAAGGUAAAAAUGCAUGUAUUCCUGUAAAUGAAUUGAUCUUGAGUUCCUAAAGCAGGUUCGCGGGGCCUUAUGAGAUUGAGGCACGAAUCGGUAAAGUGGCUUACCGACUCCGACUUCCUCGAGAGAUGGGGAAGAUGCACCCAGUGUUCCACGUGAACUUACUCAAGCCGUACUUUGAGGAUCCGCUUCGCAAGGACCAAGUAAGACCUUUACCCGAGGUUAUCCAAGGGGAAGAGGAAUACGAAGUCGAGGCCAUCCUCAAUGCGCGCAAGAGCAAGCGACAAGGACGCGAGGUGAGAGAGUUCCAUGUGAAGUGGAAAGGAUUUCCACACUGCGAAGCAACAUGGGAACCGGAGGAGAACCUAGCGAACGCGCGAGAUCUAGUGGAGGAAUUUCUGCAAGGCAAAACUCUAUGUACUUAUGCAAAGUUCAAUUAAAAAUAUCAAUUUGCAAAGUUGAGCAAGUGGCAUAUGUUGGGACCCGAAGGCGCGCCGAAGGUGAGCUAAUUAGCAUGGGUUAGCUAGGUCGACCAGGCGUAGGGAGCUACGCCCGACUCCCUGCGGGGAUGUCGAAUCCGUAGACGUAUUCUACGGAGGUUGGGUUCGAGUCCCAACCCCCUAGUAAAGCAAGGCUAGGUUCAAGUCCCAACCCCAUACUAGGGCGUGGUGAGGGGAGGAGUAUAGGGACACCUAUAUUCCGUUGUCAUGGGCUCUUGGCCAGGGAGGCUAACUUAGGCACACCGCUAAGUGGGGGGAUGCCCCCGGAGACAUGGUCAACAAGUCGUAGGAUAAAACGAGACAUUCGAUGUGGGUAUCGAACUUCUUGUGGUGGAGUUGUAAGGAACCAACUCGCCGAGGUGUCGUAGGCUAAAGGAACCCCGAAAGCAUGACCAAAAUGACAAAGAAUUCAUCGGGUGGGACCAAGUCGAAGAUCGAGUCCAAGACUGACUCUAGGACCGAGUUCGAGAUCGAGUCCGGAAUUGAGUCCGAGACCGACUCGAGGACCGAGUUCGAGACGGAGUCCAAGAUCCGAAAUCGGGUCCGAGACCGAGUCCGAGGUCGAGUCCGAGGUCGGGUCCGAGAUCGAGUCCGAGAUCGAGUCCGAGAUCGAGUCCGAAACCGAAUCCGAAGUCGGAUCCGAAAUCGGGUUCGAGAUCGAGCCAGAGACUAAGUCCAAAUACUAAUACGGGUCAAGGGGUGAAAGCCCAAAGCGUGCGUCUCCCAGGGGGGGGGGGCUGCAGGGGGUUCCAAAAGUAUAGUAGGGAUAGUGAGGUCCAGGAACUAAUUUAGAAGGGACUCUCCAGUGGGGCUCCCAAACUGACUUGAGGUUGGGACUGGGACCGAGGGGCCUUGGGUGGGAGUGAGCAUGGACUUGGUUGGUGCUGGAGGGGCCAUCCAAGGAAGUGCUCAAGAGCAGCUCCCACUCCCGAAAGGGAAACCAAUCGCGGUGCUCCCGGCUCAUGUGGAGUGGUGCCCCACUUGAGUACCAUGCGGCUCAUUGGUCCUCGCCCUUCCUAGGGGCUUGGGCCUUCCUUCGGGAUGGAAGUGGGGGGUGAGAGGUACCCAUACCGGGCCGCUAGGCCACGGUGUUUCGCCCUGGCAUCCCGAAGCAAGUGUUGCCCUCAAGACUUGGGAUUUAGAGGGUCCCAUGAUCAAGUCUUGUGGUACCAAAGGAUGUUAAGAACCUGGAAGCUUGGUGUGCUUGGCUGCUUGUGCUUGCGGGGAGUGUAGCUGAACCUUAAGUCCAGUCUAACCCGGGGAGGGGGAUUGGGAGUGAUUUGGGAAUCCGUGGAUGGAUGGCUAACACUCCGUUGCUCGUGCAGUGAGUAGCUGAGACCAAGUAGGAGCUGGUACCAUAGGCGAGAACCUUGGCAAGGGAACUUAGCAAAAGCCAAGGCAAUGUCGGACGGAUAGACGAGGUAAGUUGGCAAAUUGGAAAGGAAAAAUUUGUGGCUUACAAUCUGGUUUGUCAGAGGAUUUGAUGUGCCGUUCAAGCGUGUGGGCUCAUGCAAUUUUGAUCCCAAAAAAUGCACCAAAAAAUGCUCGGCGUCAUCUGGCGUUAUCUCUUGAAUGGCAUGGGGCCGCAUGCCAUUUUAAGGGGCACAUAGGAGUAUAUUCUUAGAAUAUUCUGACACGCGCGAGAUUUUUUUGAGUUUUCUGGAGAUCCAACCGUUAGAUCGCAACUAGAUUUUACAGAAUGGUAUACAAUGUCUUUCUUGAUGACCCUGCAAAGAAGCAUCUCGAUCGGACACCACAUGAGACCACACGAGCCUUACAAUGUUUCAGGGGCAUUUGCCAUAGAUCCAACCAUUAUUUUGCUCCAAGAUUCUACAGUUUGGUGUGCAUUGACCUUUCCAUCGACACUGCAAAGGGACAUCACAAUCAGAUGCGGGAUCACAAGAAACCAACUUCACUAACUCUGGUUUCACCAAGAUCUACGUAAGGAGUUAUGAAAUGAAGGACCCUCUCUAUUGAAAUGUGUUUAUGGUCCUAGGGGCAUUGUGACAUAUCAAAGGAUUUUGCAUCAAAUUCUGUAUUUGCAUGUUUAUCAAGUUACUGAAUUGCUAAACCCUAAACCCUAAACAUGUGGCAAAUGCUGCGUGAAGAAAGAUGCCCUUUCUGGGCAAAUGCUGUAAGAGGCAGAUGCCGAGCAGAUGUAUCUCAGGCUAGCGAAGGGGACAAACGAAAGCUAGCUAUAAACAUGACGGGAUGCAAAUAGAUUACUAGGCUGGUCCUACGAAAAUCAAAAACCAUAAUUAAAAACAUUGAAAAUGCAAAAAGAAAGGUUUAUAAUAUUUUUGAAUUUUAAGCAACCAAAGGAAUGUAAGUAGGGCAUGUGUUUGUAAGUUUAAAAAUGCCUCAACCACUUAAAUUCCCAAGUAAAUAAAGCUAUUUCUAUUUUUGGUACAGGUAAACUUUAUAGCGUGUGGGCUCAUGCAAUUUUGAACCCAAAAAUGCACCAAAAAAUGCUCGACUAGCAUUAUUCUUUGAAUGGCGUGUGGCCUUAUAUUGCCAUAAAUGGACGUACACACACAGCAUAAUUAUUCCUUUACACGGCGAAUAAUCUUGGUGCGGAUCGCUGACAUGGCAUGGCAAAGUUCAAAUCACUGACAUGGCACAGCUGGAUCGAGGCAAGGACAUGAUGUGACAAAGUUCAACGUCCGACAGCAAAGUCUAGAAGCUACUCAGUUUGAAAUUUGUCAGAAGAAUCAUAAAAUCUGGUUUGUCAGAGGAUUUGAUGUGACGUUUAAGUGUGUAUUAUUUUUGAAUUCUCGAACUCAUUCCUAGGUUUAUCAUUUUUGUGCGCCGUGUUCUUGGUUCCGCUGAGCGCAGUGAGCGCUGCUUGUGUAAGCGGCGUUGUGAGCUGUGGUUUAUGCGUCUACGAGCGGUUGCGGCAUUGUGAGCGCCAUUGCGAGCGGCAGUUUAUGCAAGUGGCAGUUUGUGCGAGCGGCGCUACGGUACCACUAAUGGUAUGAGGGCUCAUGCCAUCUUGGGGCUUGCAAGUUCAUCACUAGCAUAUUGCUAAUAGUUUCUUUACCUGCCUGUAGCUGUGUGUUUAUCAAGAUGGCAUGAGGCCUCAUGCCAAUUUUGUGAAUGCAAAAUUUUACGUGGGUGUCAAUAGCAUGUUUGAAUAAUGGCAUGUGGCCUCAUGCUAUUGAGGUUGUUUGGUAUGUUAUGAUUUAGGCCAUUCUCCAAUCAUUUUUUGUAUGGUCUUAACUUUUUUUCUGCACUUUCAGAAUGGCCUCCGCAAGUGCGACGCAUGUUCCCUCCAUGGAUCUUAAGAACCGUGCUACAUGGAUUCAGGCAAAGGUGUUUCUAAACAACCCCGAGGGGGAGGUGGUAGCUGAGGGCUUAGCCACAGUUGUCGAUCCAAGAGAUGCGGUUGCUAAUCAAGAAUUGGGUUGGGAUGAUAUUGGAAUUGCGAUUUUAGAGGUUGUUGACACAGAAGAAAACAGUCUGACUAUUAGAAACAUUGUGCGGUGGAAAUUGAGGCACUUAGUGUUUGAGAAUGUGAAGGAUUCACAAUCAAACACCACUACAACUGAUGACAGAACAUCUCUUCAUGGGAAAAGAAAGUACACCUUCCUAAAGCACAGCCAAAGGGAUCUGAGCAACGAACGGAAAAGGCAGAAAAUGGCGAUGGAGGUUCGAAUGGUCUCGACAGUUGCUUGUUGCAAGAGGAGGUGCUGUCAAUAUGCUGAUUGGGAUGCUAUUGAAGAGGAGAGAGCAAGAUACAAGACAUUGUCUUGGAAGGCAGCUCGCAAUUUUGUGUAUGAGGCAUUACGGUCAUCUGUUGAUGCUUUAGAACAUCAGGUGGGGGGCAUGGUCUUCCAGAGGGGUUUGGUCUGCAUGAAGGCAUGGAGAAUCAUUUAUGGAGUCCCUCGAACCACAUUCAAGGUACUAGAGAAAUUCCUUAAUAAUAUGAAUGUUAUUUAGUUUCAUGAAAAUACACUAAGGGGCAAAUGAGUUAAAUGACUUCUCCAGACUAGCAAUGCCUCUUGCUACACCUUCACAAUUAGAUUCGUUAGAAAAAGAUAACAUUGAAUAAUAUCUAAAUGUUCUCACCAUUAAGUUAUAUGUCUGGCUAAUAGGAAUGACGUUUAUCUUGGAAAGCUCACCACACACUCAAUGAACAAACAAAUAGUGUGUGCGCGCAUGCCAUUGCUCUUCUUUAGCUUCAGAUUCGGCUUGUUCACCUUGACAAUGAGAUUUAUUAUACAACCAGAUGGACUCAGUCUGGACACAAAGUCACCGCGCUAGUCACCAUGCCCCAGAUAUGUCUAGCCCCUGGACAAAAAACAUAUAAUUUCACGUCAUUUUCAAAUACUUGAAAAUUUGUACCUAGUCCCAUUUUACUGAAUAAAUCCCACUUUAACGAAAUAGAGCUUCCUUGGAGUGUGGCUAGAGCUUUUUAGGCUGAAUGAAUUGUUGUUAGAACAAUUCUUGUCCAAGAUUUUAAAUAUUUACUAUAUAACACAAUAGAAUUUGUUGCAGAAAGAGUAAACUUGUCACUUUCUUAAAAUCCAUAUUAUUUAUUUUAUAAUGAAAGUUAUGAUCAUUUAAUUAAUUUUUAUUAUAUUUUUUUUAUAAAAUAUUUUGUUUUAUUCCUAAAUCACAUGUUUUAUGGGCAGAAAUAACACUUUAAAUGAAAUAAAAAUAAAAAUAUCACACUACAUAUCAAAGUGAUAAAUUUUAAAUAAUCCUAUAUAAUAAAUAAGAAAAACAUGAAUUUACCAACAUAACUAUGAAAAUACUAAAUCUUUUGAUAAUUCAAGAGGUAAUAUUCUUACACAAAUUAAAAAUGUACCAGAUACUCAAUAUUGUACAACAAAAGCUAAAAAUAAUGUAAUUAGGCUCUCAAUUUUUCAAGGGUUAUUUAAAACAAUAAAAAUGUAUUAAUUAAUAAGUACUAAAUAACAUAAGUGAGUAUCUAAUUUUAGAUUAUUAUUUAUAGCUUUAAAAUUAAAUAAAUUUUAUAAACGUUUACUAAACUUAAUAACCUUAAAUCUCUUUGAAAAUUCUCUUAAAAAUAUACUUUAUACAGAAGAAUUUUUAAUAUCUUCAAAUGAAAAAAAAAACAUAUUAGUAGUAUCAAAUUAUAAAGUUUCAUUUUAUUCCGAAACAAAUAUUUUAUGAAGAUUAGAUAACAAACAAAUUUAUCAUGGUCUAUUUUCUUAACAACUUCAAAAUGAUAGUAAUAUUGUAUUAUAUACAAAAAAAAAGA